RNAcentral lists this long non-coding RNA (329 nucleotides) under Gallus gallus (chicken). The record is from RNAcentral. Lineage: Eukaryota; Metazoa; Chordata; Aves; Galliformes; Phasianidae.
GGGCAAUAAAAAGGGUAGAACAGAUGCACUUCUGCACCGGCUGUAAGGUCCCCAGGAAAGGAAGAAAGCAGAGAGGAAUCACCUGACAGGGACCUGGAUACCUGCAAGAAGAUGCACAAGAGAAGAUCAAAUCACCCCUUCAGUGCCAGCAGCAUCACAGACGUCAUAUGGGUCAUGGUCUGAGGCAUAUAUUGAUACACAUGCUAAAAAGAUGCUUCUAAUUUUUUUUUUAAGCCUAUAAACCAGCCUCUAAAUUGUAACAGGUUUCUUAAUGAUAUUAUAAGCACUGUCAAUAGAAACAUUAAAAAAUUGAGUAAUUUCGUUCUUUC